Molecule: RNA transcript, 1567 nt
Organism: Nomascus leucogenys (northern white-cheeked gibbon)
Lineage: Eukaryota; Metazoa; Chordata; Mammalia; Primates; Hylobatidae
Gene: GGTA1
Gene name: glycoprotein alpha-galactosyltransferase 1 (inactive)
Source: RefSeq, marked validated
GAGAAAAUAAUGAAUGUCAAAGGAAAAGUAAUUCUGUCAAUGCUGGUUGUCUGAACUGUGAUCGUUUUGGGAAUAUAUCAACAGCCCAGAAGGCUCUUUCUUGUGGAUAUAUCACUCAAAAAACCCAGAAGUUGAUGACAGCAGUGCUCAGAAGGGCUGGUCGUUUCUGAGCUGGUUUAACAAUGGGAUCCACAAUUAUCAACAAGGGGAAGAAGACAUAGACAAAGAAAAAGGAAGACAGGAGACCAAAGAAAGGAAAAUGACACAACAGAGCUUCGGCUACGGGACUGGUUUAAUCCAAAAUAUAAUGAGCAUUAAUUGGAGGAGUUCAUAACAUCUGCUAAUAGGUACUUCAUGGUCGGCCACAAAGUCAUAUUUUACAUCAUGGUGGAUGAUGUCUCCAAGGUGCUGUUUAUAGAGCUGGGUCCUCUGCAUUCCUUCAAAGUGUUUGAGGUCAAGCGAGAGAAGAGGUGGCAAGACAUCAGCAUAAUGCGUAUGAAGAUCACUGGGGAGCACAUCUUGGCCCACAUCCAACACGAGGUCAACUUCCUCUUCUGCAUGGAUGUGGACCAGGUCUUCCAAGACCAUUUUGGGGUGGAGACCCUAGGCCAGUCAGUGGCUCAGCUAUAGGCCUGGCGGUACAAGGCAGAUCCCAAUGACUUUAUCUAGGAGAGGCAGAAAAAGUCAGCAGCAUACAUUCCCUUUGGCCGGGGGGUUUUUAUUACCAUGCAGCCAUUUUUAGAGGAACACCCAUUCAGGUUCUCAACAUCACCCAGGAGUGCUUUAAGGGAAUCCUCUUGGACAAGAAAAAUGACAUAGAAGCCGAGUGGCAUGAUGAAAGCCACCUAAACAAGUAUUUCCUUCUCAACAAACCCUCUAAAAUCUUAUCCUUAAAAUACUGCUGGGAUUAUCAUAUAGGCCUGCCUUCAGAUAUUAAAACUGUCAAGCGAUCGUGGCAGACAAAAGAGUGUAAUUUGGUUAGAAAUAACGUCUGGCUUCAAAUUGUGCCAGUAAAUUUCUGAAUUUUAGAGAGAAGUAUUCUGGCUACUUCCUCAGAAAAGUAACACUUAAUUUUAACGUCAAAAAAUACUAAUGAAACACCAACAUGGCAAAAACAUACCAUUCCUCCUUGUAACUUGGGGCUUUGUAAUGUGGAAGAAUGAAUCUAGGGUAAUCAGGUAUAAAUUCCCAGUGAUUUCUUAUCUAUUCUGGGUUUGGGGAAAAUACUAUCAACUGAACCAAAAAGAACUUGUCGUAGGCAGAGAUAAAGCCAGAAACACUCUACACAUGCCAGAUAACAUCUGGAGAAAAGGGUGCUAAGGGAAGUGUUUGGCAGCAAGAUAUGAUUGUAAGGGGUUGUCCCUUGAGUUCAAUGUCUGCCUAUUUCUGAUGGGUCUAAAGCAACAUGGAGUUACUGUGCAGCAGAGCUCUCAGUAAAGACAUCAUUUGCCUUGGCAAUCCUCAAAAGGCUUCAAUAGCAGAUUGCUUCAGGCCAUCUGUAGUCCGUCUUUUUCUCAUCUGAUGUUGCUUGGCUUCUGUGAGAAAGAUUGGUGGAGUGUCCCAGUAG